GACGAACGCUGGCGGCGUGCUUAAUACAUGCAAGUCGAGCGAGGUUACUGUUUUGGAUCCCUUCGGGGUGAAGAAGCUUUAACCUAGCGGCGGACGGGUGAGUGACGCGUGGGUAACCUACCCCAAAGUCCGGGAUAACAGCGGGAAACCGCUGCUAAUACCGGAUGCCUUUACCUUGGGGCAUCUUGAGGUAAAGAAAGGUAACGCUUUGGGAUGGGCCCGCGUCCCAUUAGCUAGUUGGUGAGGUAACGGCUCACCAAGGCGACGAUGGGUAGCCGGCCUGAGAGGGUGGACGGCCACACUGGGACUGAGACACGGCCCAGACUCCUACGGGAGGCAGCAGUAGGGAAUAUUGCGCAAUGGACGGAAGUCUGACGCAGCGACGCCGCGUGAGCGAUGAAGGUCUUCGGAUCGUAAAGCUCUGUCCUUGGGGAAGAAGGCGAAAGCUUGACGGUACCCAAGAAGAAAGCCCCGGCUAACUACGUGCCAGCAGCCGCGGUAAUACGUAGGGGGCGAGCGUUGUCCGGAAUUACUGGGCGUAAAGGGUGCGUAGGCGGCCCUUUAAGUCGGAUGUGAAAGCCCGCGGCUUAACCGCGGAAUGGCAUUCGAAACUGGAGGGCUUGAGUGUCGGAGAGGGUAGUGGAAUUCCCAGUGUAGCGGUGAAAUGCGUAGAUAUUGGGAGGAACACCAGUGGCGAAGGCGACUACCUGGACGAUAACUGACGCUGAGGCACGAAAGCUAGGGGAGCAAACAGG
This 755-nucleotide ribosomal RNA is filed under the name uncultured Neomoorella sp. Its description in RNAcentral is "bacterial SSU rRNA". It matches the Rfam family "Bacterial small subunit ribosomal RNA", at positions 28 to 776 of the family's 1533-position model. The record is from RNAcentral. Lineage: Bacteria; Bacillati; Bacillota; Clostridia; Neomoorellales; Neomoorellaceae.